This 79-nucleotide small nuclear RNA is filed under the name Perkinsus marinus ATCC 50983. Lineage: Eukaryota; Perkinsozoa; Perkinsida; Perkinsidae. The record is from RNAcentral.
ACCCCCUCGGGGGUAUCCGAUAAAAUUGGAACGAUACAGAGAAGAUUAGCAUGGCCCCUGCGCAAGAUGACACGCACAA